AUACGUAGGGGGCGAGCGUUGUCCGGAAUGACUGGGCGUAAAGGGCGUGUAGGCGGUUGUCUAAGUCUGGAGGGAAAGUCCUGCUUUCAAGGUGGGAAUAGCUUUGGAUACUGGCUGACUUGAGUGCGGAAGAGGGAAGGGGAAUUCCCAGUGUAGCGGUGAAAUGCGUAGAGAUUGGGAGGAACACCAGUGGCGAAGGCGACUUACUGGGCCGUAACUGACGCUGAGGCGCGAAAGCGUGGGGAGCGAACAGGAUUAGAUACCCUGGUAGUCCACGCGGUAAACGAUGAAUGCUAGGUGUUGCGGGUAUCGACCCCUGCAGUGCCGGAGUAAACACAAUAAGCAUUCCGCCUGGGGAGUACGGCCGCAAGGUUGAAACUCAAAUGAAUUGGCGGGG
RNAcentral lists this ribosomal RNA (397 nucleotides) under uncultured bacterium. Its description in RNAcentral is "partial 16S ribosomal RNA". It matches the Rfam family "Bacterial small subunit ribosomal RNA", at positions 523 to 918 of the family's 1533-position model. The record is from RNAcentral.